Molecule: ribosomal RNA, 253 nt
Filed under: uncultured bacterium
Lineage: Bacteria
Description: partial 16S ribosomal RNA
Rfam family: Bacterial small subunit ribosomal RNA
Source: RNAcentral
UACAGAGGGGGCAAGCGUUGUUCGGAAUUACUGGGCGUAAAGAGCUCGUAGGUGGUUUGUCGCGUUGUCCGUGAAAACUCACAACUCAAUUGUGGGCGUGCGGGCGAUACGGGCAGACUGGAGUACUGCAGGGGAGACUGGAAUUCCUGGUGUAGCGGUGGAAUGCGCAGAUAUCAGGAGGAACACCGGUGGCGAAGGCGGGUCUCUGGGCAGUAACUGACGCUGAGGAGCGAAAGCGUGGGGAGCGAACAGG